CCUACGGGUGGCAGCAGUGAGGAAUAUUGGUCAAUGGACGAGAGUCUGAACCUGCCACGUAGCGUGAAGGAUGGCUGCCCUAUGGGUUGUAAACUUCUUUUAUAUGGGAAUAAAAUGUUCCACGUGUGGGAUUUUGUAUGUACCAUAUGAAUAAGGAUCGGCUAACUCCGUGCCAGCAGCCGCGGUAAUACGGAGGCUCCGAGCGUUAUCCGGAUUUAUUGGGUUUAAAGGGAGCGUAGGUGGAUUGUUAAGUCAGUUGUGAAAGUUUGCGGCUCAACCGUAAAAUUGCAGUUGAAACUGGCAGUCUUGAGUACAGGAGAGGUGGGCGGAAUUCGUGGUGUAGCGGUGAAAUGCUUAGAUAUCACGAAGAACUCCGAUUGCGAAGGCAGUUCACUGGACUGCAACUGACACUGAGGCUCGAAAGUGUGGGUAUCAAACAGGAUUAGAUACCCGUGUAGUC
This 460-nucleotide ribosomal RNA is filed under the name uncultured bacterium. RNAcentral describes it as "partial 16S ribosomal RNA". It matches the Rfam family "Bacterial small subunit ribosomal RNA", at positions 338 to 795 of the family's 1533-position model. The record is from RNAcentral.